Chanos chanos (milkfish) is the source of this 215-nucleotide small nucleolar RNA. RefSeq annotates it as small nucleolar RNA U3. The record is from RefSeq and is a predicted model, not a curated record. The transcript has a single exon. NCBI's taxonomy places the organism in Eukaryota, Metazoa, Chordata, Actinopteri, Gonorynchiformes, Chanidae.
AAGACUAUACUUUCAGGGAUCAUUUCUACAGUUUCUGACUAGGAAAUGAGUUUCGAAAGUGUUGCGUCUCCCCAGCCACGAUGACGAGGCGCGGCACGCCCUUCUGAGCGCGAAUCGGGUGCAAUUCGAGGUCGUUUGUCCUUGUUUAGCAUCAUUGAUGACCGUUCUGCUUGUCCCAGCCGGCGGGCAGAGGAAGAGUGUGCGAUCAGAGUGGU